This 443-nucleotide ribosomal RNA is filed under the name uncultured bacterium. RNAcentral's name for it is "partial 16S ribosomal RNA". It matches the Rfam family "Bacterial small subunit ribosomal RNA", at positions 338 to 795 of the family's 1533-position model. The record is from RNAcentral.
CCUACGGGAGGCAGCAGUGGGGAAUAUUCGGCAAUGGGCGCAAGCCUGACCCAGCAACGCCGCGUGAAGGAAGAAGGCUUUCGGGUUGUAAACUUCUUUUCUCAGGGACGAAGCAAGUGACGGUACCUGAGGAAUAAGCCACGGCGAAAUACGUGCCAGCAGCCGCGCUAAUAAGUAGGUGGCAAGCGUUGUCCGGAUUUACUGGGGGUAAAGGUCGGGUAGGCGGGGACGCAAGUCAGAUGUGAAAACCACGGGCUCAACCUGUGGCUUGCAUUUGAAACUGUGUUUCUUGAGUACUGGAGAGGCAGAUGGAAUUCCUAGUGUAGCGGUGAAAUGCGUAGAUAUUAGGAGGAACACCAGUGGCGAAGGCGGUCUGCUGGACAGCAACUGACGCUGAGGCGCGAAAGCGUGGGGAGCAAACAGGAUUAGAUACCCCGGUAGUC